GACGAACGCUGGCGGCGUGCCUAAUACAUGCAAGUCGAGCGGACGAAUCGAAAGCUUGCUUUUGAUUCGUUAGCGGCGGACGGGUGAGUAACACGUGGGCAACCUGCCCUGUAGACGGGGAUAACACCGAGAAAACGGUGCUAAUACCGGAUAACACGAAAUGUCGCAUGACGUUUCGUUGAAAGACGGCGCAAGCUGCCGCUACAGGAUGGGCCCGCGGCGCAUUAGCUAGUUGGUGAGGUAACGGCUCACCAAGGCGACGAUACGUAGCCGACCUGAGAGGGUGAUCGGCCACACUGGGACUGAGACACGGCCCAGACUCCUACGGGAGGCAGCAGUAGGGAAUCUUCCGCAAUGGACGAAAGUCUGACGGAGCAACGCCGCGUGAGCGAAGAAGGCCUUCGGGUCGUAAAGCUCUGUUGUUAGGGAAGAACAAGUAACGCAGUAACUGGCGUUACCGUGACGGUACCUAACGAGAAAGCCACGGCUAACUACGUG
Molecule: ribosomal RNA, 498 nt
Filed under: uncultured bacterium
Lineage: Bacteria
Description: partial 16S ribosomal RNA
Rfam family: Bacterial small subunit ribosomal RNA
Source: RNAcentral